CCUACGGGAGGCAGCAGUAGGGAAUCUUCCACAAUGGGCGAAAGCCUGAUGGAGCAACGCCGCGUGGGUGAAGAAGGUCUUCGGAUCGUAAAACCCUGUUGUUAGAGAAGAAAGUGCGUGAGAUUAACUGUUCACGUUUCGACUUUAUCUAACAAGACAGCCACGGCUAACUACGUGCCAGCAUCCGCGGUAAUACGUAGGUGGCAAGCGUUACCCGGAUUUAUUGUGCGUAAAGGGAACGCAGGCGGUCUUUUAAGUCUGAUGGGAAAGCCUUGGGCUUAACCGGAGUAGUGCAUUGGAAACUGGGAGACUUGAGUGCAGAAGAGGAGAGUGGAACUCCAUGUGUAGCGGUGAAAUGCGUAGAUAGAUGGAAGAACACCAGUGGCGAAAGCGGCUCUCUGGUCUGUAACUGACGCUGAGGUUCGAAAGCGUGGGUAGCAAACAGGAUUAGAUACCCCAGUAGUC
Molecule: ribosomal RNA, 465 nt
Filed under: uncultured bacterium
Lineage: Bacteria
Description: partial 16S ribosomal RNA
Rfam family: Bacterial small subunit ribosomal RNA
Source: RNAcentral